Molecule: long non-coding RNA, 807 nt
Filed under: Brassica rapa (field mustard)
Lineage: Eukaryota; Viridiplantae; Streptophyta; Magnoliopsida; Brassicales; Brassicaceae
Description: long non-coding RNA (BRAP_LNC000974)
Source: RNAcentral
UUUAGAUAAGCACACAUGGUGACACCAGUAGCGUUAUGGUACCUACUGAGCAUGUUCUCAUAAGGAAAACCAGGAUUCAAGAACAAUCUGUACCGAGUCAUCAACAACAUAGCCCCAGGUAAUUUGUUAUUCCAGCUCGGUACCAUCAAUUCUGGUUGAUUAGCAAAAGCUUUAGCCGUUUUAGGCACGCUUGGGUUUGUGGCGAAUUGUAUGUAAGUCUGGUUCCCCGUGGCGUAGUAAAGCCACGCGCCAGCCCACAUAAGUUCGUCGAACAUACUUGUUGAGUUGUAGAAGGCUUGAAUCAUUGGUUGUCCGUCUGAGUAGCGCUUGCGUCUGUUCUUGUUUCUAAAGAAAGGCCAUAGAGUUUCUGCUCCUUUCUUUAGCUUUUUGGCGUAGGUUGGUUUGUCGUUGAAGACGAUUGAGGCGGCAGCUAAGGCGGAGGCGACUUCUGCACCGAGGUCAGUGGCGGUAGUUAAAGAGAUUACAGGACGGUCGUAGGACAUGUCUUCUGGUCUUUGCCAACAGUAGAUAUCAUCUGGUGAUUCUGAGUCUCUUAGUCCUCCACCAACCUACAAGUCAUGGAAACAGGGGUUUGAUCAAAAUGGUUUAGGUUUAGUUUUUUUUGGUGCGCAAGGAAGAAUUGAAAUACAUUAAUUAUAUAGUUAAUAUAAUUGGGAAGUAAUUUUUUUGAUUACAUAGUUUUUUACCUAAGCUGUUUAGCAAACUGACCUAUACUGAAUCAUAUUUUACAGUUUCUAACAGUUUAUAUUAUGUUUCCAAAGUAUCAAAUAUCAAACAAUAUAUAGC